RNAcentral lists this ribosomal RNA (467 nucleotides) under uncultured bacterium. RNAcentral describes it as "bacterial SSU rRNA". It matches the Rfam family "Bacterial small subunit ribosomal RNA", at positions 335 to 792 of the family's 1533-position model. The record is from RNAcentral.
ACUCCUACGGGAGGCAGCAGUAGGGAAUCUUCCACAAUGGGCGCAAGCCUGAUGGAGCAACACCGCGUGAGUGAAGAAGGGUUUCGGCUCGUAAAGCUCUGUUGUUAAAGAAGAACACGUAUGAGAGUAACUGUUCAUACGUUGACGGUAUUUAACCAGAAAGUCACGGCUAACUACGUGCCAGCAGCCGCGGUAAUACGUAGGUGGCAAGCGUUAUCCGGAUUUAUUGGGCGUAAAGAGAGUGCAGGCGGUUUUCUAAGUCUGAUGUGAAAGCCUUCGGCUUAACCGGAGAAGUGCAUCGGAAACUGGAUAACUUGAGUGCAGAAGAGGGUAGUGGAACUCCAUGUGUAGCGGUGGAAUGCGUAGAUAUAUGGAAGAACACCAGUGGCGAAGGCGGCUACCUGGUCUGCAACUGACGCUGAGACUCGAAAGCAUGGGUAGCGAACAGGAUUAGAUACCCCGUGGUA